Molecule: ribosomal RNA, 228 nt
Filed under: uncultured bacterium
Lineage: Bacteria
Description: partial 16S ribosomal RNA
Rfam family: Bacterial small subunit ribosomal RNA
Source: RNAcentral
UACGUAGGUGGCUAGCGUUGUCCGGAUUUACUGGGCGUAAAGAGCGCGCAGGCGGUCGUUCAAGUCGAGUGUGAAAGCCCCCGGCUCAACUGGGGAGGGUCACUCGAUACUGACUCGACUCGAAGGCAGGAGAGGGAACGGAAUUCCCGGUGUAGUGGUGAAAUGCGUAGAUAUCAGGAGGAACACCGGUGGCGAAGGCGGGUCUCUGGGCAACUACUGACGCUGAGG